GGCCGGAGACUAGGUCUCGGGAGCCCUAAAAUCCUCCCCCGCUCGUGGACUGGCUGCGAAAGGGGUGAGAGUCAGGGCGCCCGGCUAAAAUGAUUUUCAGGAUUCAUCAGUACAGGUACCCAGGCUUAAGUUUUGAACUCAGGAGGCAAGGGCACAUUGCUGUUAAAUAUGGUUCUGGUAAUAUGUGUUAGGGCAUAUUUAUUUUCUGCAGACAAGGUUAGGGCCUUGAACGUCUCAUUUACGGGCUGACGGGUCUAUUAACGAUGUUAGGGCACGUUAAUUGAGAUGAAAGUGUUAGGGCACGGGUAUAUUUGUUAGGGUACAUUAAGUUAAAAUGGUUCUGACCUGCAGGGCACGCUCACGUAUAUUGAGAUCAAUUAAUAAAAAUGGGUUUGUUUCACCACGCAUGUUUUUGCUGCUUUGAUAAUGGGUAAGCAUUGUGGUAAAUAUUUGUCAUCGUAGUUAAUGUUUCUGUUGUCUGGGAAUGUGUACAAAUGUAUCUUUGGGAGUUAUUAGAUUUUCCAGUUAAUGGCGUUUCCUUCGGAGACCGAUGCCCGGCCACCGGGCAGGUUGGAGGAAUAUGGCCGAGGUGACGUACGGAAGUAGCAGAGGUUCUUUUUGCUCAGGUUGGAUGGAUCGUCCCUCUGACCGCCCCCACCCUCUCACGGUGUUCCGCCAGGCCGAUCGCUGGAACUCCUUGAAGGUUUGCAUGGUCCCAUCCUGACGACAUUGCAUCAGUGGAGAACAUUUCCCAUUUGCAAUCGACGUAGCCAACAACGCUGGUGACCGUUAUAGCCCCCAACUCGUUUCGCUCCAUGGCCCUUUUUAUUGUGAACGUGGUGAUGCAGUAGGCCAUCUGGAGGCCGUUUUGCUCCACAUUGGACGUGUUUAGAGAGUCUACGCGGGACAAGAAAAGGUACACAAGGGGGGGAGAAGAACACACACUUAACCUCUGUUGGCCCAGCCAGGGUUUACAGCGGCUAAGACCAUAGGUGACUGCAAACCCGGGGUUGAGGAAGAGACUAUGCUAACCGCUACGUUUAAAUUUAUGAAGCUACCACUAGACAUUCAACUGGACAUUGGGUUUGGGAAGAUACCCAUGGGAAUCAAGACAACGGCUGUAUAGAUGUAGUGUUCACGCAAGAAUAGAGAUGGUUCCGGCUGCCUCUUUGGCCUUGCUGUGAGCGAUCCAACGGGAACACACAGGAACGCUGAACCGCCUGAGGGAGGGGUGCUGACGGUUUGAGGAGACGGACCGAUGGAGAGAGCAACCUCCAACCGAGAGGAUGGGAGCUAAGGAAAGCUCCAGUUCUGGACAAAGUUUAAUGGGCACACAAAAGAUCUACUGCAUGACAUCAUGCCACGCUGAUUGGGUUCAUACCAGGUACAUCU
Long non-coding RNA from Esox lucius (northern pike), 1392 nucleotides. RefSeq lists it as uncharacterized. Lineage: Eukaryota; Metazoa; Chordata; Actinopteri; Esociformes; Esocidae. The record is from RefSeq and is a predicted model, not a curated record. The transcript is spliced from 3 exons.